This 2192-nucleotide ribosomal RNA is filed under the name Clostridium botulinum C/D. RNAcentral's name for it is "partial 23S ribosomal RNA". It matches the Rfam family "Bacterial large subunit ribosomal RNA", at positions 725 to 2925 of the family's 2925-position model. Lineage: Bacteria; Bacillati; Bacillota; Clostridia; Eubacteriales; Clostridiaceae. The record is from RNAcentral.
GUGACCUAUCCAUGGCCAGGAUGAAGCGGAAGUAAAAUUCCGUGGAGGUCCGAACCACGUUGGUGUUGAAAAACCAUGGGAUGAGCUGUGGAUAGCGGAGAAAUUCCAAUCGAACUCGGAGAUAGCUGGUUCUCCUCGAAAUAGCUUUAGGGCUAGCGUCGGGUAAUUGAGUAGUGGAGGUAGAGCACUGAAUGGGCUAGGGGCUGACAACAGUUACUGAACCCUAUCAAACUCCGAAUGCCAUAUACUUGUACCCCGGCAGUCAGACUACGAAUGAUAAGAUCCGUGGUCAAAAGGGAAACAGCCCAGACCAUCAGCUAAGGUCCCAAAGUGUAAGUUAAGUGGGAAAGGAUGUGGGAUUUCUAAGACAACUAGGAUGUUGGCUUAGAAGCAGCCACUCAUUUAAAGAGUGCGUAAUAGCUCACUAGUCGAGAGAUCCUGCGCCGAAGAUGUAACGGGGCUCAAACUUACCACCGAAGCUAUGGAUGUGUACUAUGUACACGUGGUAGAGGAGCUUUCUGUACAGGUUGAAGUCAUACCGUAAGGAGUGGUGGACAGUACAGAAGUGAGAAUGCUGGCAUAAGUAGCGAAAAACAAGUGAGAAUCUUGUUGACCGAAUAUCUAAGGUUUCCUGGGGAAGGCUCGUCCUCCCAGGGUUAGUCGGGACCUAAGCCGAGGCCGAAAGGCGUAGGUGAUGGACAACUGGUUGAUAUUCCAGUACCACCAUAAUGCGUUUGACAAAUGGGAUGACGCAGGAGGAUAGGAUGUGCGCACUAUUGGAUGUGCGUCUAAGCACUUAGGGUGUUAAGUAGGCAAAUCCGCUUAACAUUAAGCCUGAGGUGUGAUGGGGAGCCUAUUUUGGCGAAGUAUCUGAUUCCACGCUGCCAAGAAAAGUCUCUAUGGAGCAAAAUGGUGCCCGUACCGCAAACCGACACAGGUAGAUGAGGAGAGAAUCCUAAGGUCGUCGGAAGAAUUAUUGCUAAGGAACUCGGCAAAUUGACCCCGUAACUUAGGGAGAAGGGGUGCCUACGAGAGUAGGCCGCAGUGAAUAGGCUCAAGCAACUGUUUAUCAAAAACACAGGUCUCUGCUAAAGCGUAAGCUGAUGUAUAGGGGCUGACGCCUGCCCGGUGCUGGAAGGUUAAGGGGAAUAGUUAGCGCAAGCGAAGCUAUGAACUUAAGCCCCAGUAAACGGCGGCCGUAACUAUAACGGUCCUAAGGUAGCGAAAUUCCUUGUCGGGUAAGUUCCGACCCGCACGAAUGGCGUAAUGAUUUGAGCACUGUCUCGGCAAUAAAUCCGGUGAAAUUGUAGUGCAAGUGAAGAUGCUUGCUACCCGCGGUUGGACGGAAAGACCCCGUAGAGCUUUACUGUAGCUUAGCAUUGAAUUUCGGUAUUGUCUGUACAGGAUAGGUGGGAGACUUAGAAGCGAGGGCGUCAGCUUUCGUGGAGUCGUCCUUGGGAUACCACCCUGACAGUACUGGAAUUCUAACUGGAGGCCAUGAAUCUGGUCACAGGACAUUGCUAGGUGGGCAGUUUGACUGGGGCGGUCGCCUCCUAAAAGGUAACGGAGGCGCCCAAAGGUUCCCUCAGCGCGGUCGGAAAUCGCGCGUAGAGUGCAAAGGCAGAAGGGAGCCUGACUGCGACACAUACAGGUGGAGCAGGGACGAAAGUCGGGCUUAGUGAUCCGGUGGUUCUGUAUGGAAGGGCCAUCGCUCAACGGAUAAAAGCUACCUCGGGGAUAACAGGCUGAUCUCCCCCAAGAGUCCACAUCGACGGGGAGGUUUGGCACCUCGAUGUCGGCUCGUCGCAUCCUGGGGCUGUAGUCGGUCCCAAGGGUUGGGCUGUUCGCCCAUUAAAGCGGCACGCGAGCUGGGUUCAGAACGUCGUGAGACAGUUCGGUCCCUAUCCGCCGUGGGCGUAGGAAAUUUGAGAGGAGCUGUCCUUAGUACGAGAGGACCGGGAUGGACCAACCUCUGGUGCACCAGUUGUUCCGCCAGGAGCACAGCUGGGUAGCUAUGUUGGGAAGGGAUAAACGCUGAAAGCAUCUAAGCGUGAAGCCCACCUCAAGAUUAGAUUUCCCAUAGCGUAAGCUAGUAAGACCCCUGAAAGACUAUCAGGUUGAUAGGUUGGAGGUGUAAGUACAGUAAUGUAUUCAGCUGACCAAUACUAAUAGGUCGAGGGCUUGAUCAAAUU